AGCGUACACGGUGGAUGCCCUGGCAGUCAGAGGCGAUGAAGGACGUGCUAAUCUGCGAUAAGCGUCGGUAAGGUGAUAUGAACCGUUAUAACCGGCGAUUUCCGAAUGGGGAAACCCAGUGUGUUUCGACACACUAUCAUUAACUGAAUCCAUAGGUUAAUGAGGCGAACCGGGGGAACUGAAACAUCUAAGUACCCCGAGGAAAAGAAAUCAACCGAGAUUCCCCCAGUAGCGGCGAGCGAACGGGGAGCAGCCCAGAGCCUGAAUCAGUGUGUGUGUUAGUGGAAGCGUCUGGAAAGGCGCGCGAUACAGGGUGACAGCCCCGUACACAAAAAUGCACAUAUUGUGAGCUCGAUGAGUAGGGCGGGACACGUGGUAUCCUGUCUGAAUAUGGGGGGACCAUCCUCCAAGGCUAAAUACUCCUGACUGACCGAUAGUGAACCAGUACCGUGAGGGAAAGGCGAAAAGAACCCCGGCGAGGGGAGUGAAAAAGAACCUGAAACCGUGUACGUACAAGCAGUGGGAGCACGCUUAGGCGUGUGACUGCGUACCUUUUGUAUAAUGGGUCAGCGACUUAUAUUCUGUAGCAAGGUUAACCGAAUAGGGGAGCCGAAGGGAAACCGAGUCUUAACUGGGCGUUAAGUUGCAGGGUAUAGACCCGAAACCCGGUGAUCUAGCCAUGGGCAGGUUGAAGGUUGGGUAACACUAACUGGAGGACCGAACCGACUAAUGUUGAAAAAUUAGCGGAUGACUUGUGGCUGGGGGUGAAAGGCCAAUCAAACCGGGAGAUAGCUGGUUCUCCCCGAAAGCUAUUUAGGUAGCGCCUCGUGAAUUCAUCUCCGGGGGUAGAGCACUGUUUCGGCAAGGGGGUCAUCCCGACUUACCAACCCGAUGCAAACUGCGAAUACCGGAGAAUGUUAUCACGGGAGACACACGGCGGGUGCUAACGUCCGUCGUGAAGAGGGAAACAACCCAGACCGCCAGCUAAGGUCCCAAAGUCAUGGUUAAGUGGGAAACGAUGUGGGAAGGCCCAGACAGCCAGGAUGUUGGCUUAGAAGCAGCCAUCAUUUAAAGAAAGCGUAAUAGCUCACUGGUCGAGUCGGCCUGCGCGGAAGAUGUAACGGGGCUAAACCAUGCACCGAAGCUGCGGCAGCGACACUAUGUGUUGUUGGGUAGGGGAGCGUUCUGUAAGCCUGUGAAGGUGUGCUGUGAGGCAUGCUGGAGGUAUCAGAAGUGCGAAUGCUGACAUAAGUAACGAUAAAGCGGGUGAAAAGCCCGCUCGCCGGAAGACCAAGGGUUCCUGUCCAACGUUAAUCGGGGCAGGGUGAGUCGACCCCUAAGGCGAGGCCGAAAGGCGUAGUCGAUGGGAAACAGGUUAAUAUUCCUGUACUUGGUGUUACUGCGAAGGGGGGACGGAGAAGGCUAUGUUGGCCGGGCGACGGUUGUCCCGGUUUAAGCGUGUAGGCUGGUUUUCCAGGCAAAUCCGGAAAAUCAAGGCUGAGGCGUGAUGACGAGGCACUACGGUGCUGAAGCAACAAAUGCCCUGCUUCCAGGAAAAGCCUCUAAGCAUCAGGUAACAUCAAAUCGUACCCCAAACCGACACAGGUGGUCAGGUAGAGAAUACCAAGGCGCUUGAGAGAACUCGGGUGAAGGAACUAGGCAAAAUGGUGCCGUAACUUCGGGAGAAGGCACGCUGAUAUGUAGGUGAAGUCCCUCGCGGAUGGAGCUGAAAUCAGUCGAAGAUACCAGCUGGCUGCAACUGUUUAUUAAAAACACAGCACUGUGCAAACACGAAAGUGGACGUAUACGGUGUGACGCCUGCCCGGUGCCGGAAGGUUAAUUGAUGGGGUUAGCGCAAGCGAAGCUCUUGAUCGAAGCCCCGGUAAACGGCGGCCGUAACUAUAACGGUCCUAAGGUAGCGAAAUUCCUUGUCGGGUAAGUUCCGACCUGCACGAAUGGCGUAAUGAUGGCCAGGCUGUCUCCACCCGAGACUCAGUGAAAUUGAACUCGCUGUGAAGAUGCAGUGUACCCGCGGCAAGACGGAAAGACCCCGUGAACCUUUACUAUAGCUUGACACUGAACAUUGAGCCUUGAUGUGUAGGAUAGGUGGGAGGCUUAGAAGUGUGGACGCCAGUCUGCAUGGAGCCGACCUUGAAAUACCACCCUUUAAUGUUUGAUGUUCUAACGUUGACCCGUAAUCCGGGUUGCGGACAGUGUCUGGUGGGUAGUUUGACUGGGGCGGUCUCCUCCUAAAGAGUAACGGAGGAGCACGAAGGUUGGCUAAUCCUGGUCGGACAUCAGGAGGUUAGUGCAAUGGCAUAAGCCAGCUUGACUGCGAGCGUGACGGCGCGAGCAGGUGCGAAAGCAGGUCAUAGUGAUCCGGUGGUUCUGAAUGGAAGGGCCAUCGCUCAACGGAUAAAAGGUACUCCGGGGAUAACAGGCUGAUACCGCCCAAGAGUUCAUAUCGACGGCGGUGUUUGGCACCUCGAUGUCGGCUCAUCACAUCCUGGGGCUGAAGUAGGUCCCAAGGGUAUGGCUGUUCGCCAUUUAAAGUGGUACGCGAGCUGGGUUUAGAACGUCGUGAGACAGUUCGGUCCCUAUCUGCCGUGGGCGCUGGAGAACUGAGGGGGGCUGCUCCUAGUACGAGAGGACCGGAGUGGACGCAUCACUGGUGUUCGGGUUGUCAUGCCAAUGGCACUGCCCGGUAGCUAAAUGCGGAAGAGAUAAGUGCUGAAAGCAUCUAAGCACGAAACUUGCCCCGAGAUGAGUUCUCCCUGACUCCUUGA
RNAcentral lists this ribosomal RNA (2786 nucleotides) under human gut metagenome. RNAcentral's name for it is "bacterial LSU rRNA". It matches the Rfam family "Bacterial large subunit ribosomal RNA". The record is from RNAcentral.